GGAUGAGGAGGCGAUGUGAUUGGGUCCAUAUGGGCUCAGGAAAGUCCCCGGGCCUUAACUGCAGCGAUGCAGCCUUGGUAACAAGGAACUUGUAGCAAUGAUUCGACCAUAAUGGGCUGAGACAUGUGUGGAGCCUAGAAUCUAGCACAAGGUGUUGGCCAAUUUCACAGCUCAUUCACAUGGUCCUCGUGACUAACUGAACGGGGCUUAUGCCCUCCUCAUCAACCUUUUUUAUCAAUUCUUCUGUGAUUUCUUUAUUAAAUCAAAAUACUAUGUCACGUGGAAGUAGAUUAAUUAUGGUAAUUUUCAAAUUUUAGAGAUGUCACUUUCUUAUUUUCAAUUGAUGUUAUCUCGUAUUUAUAUUUGAUUAUUCUCUUUUUGGUUUGCAUUAUACAUAUAUUUUUCACUUAGGUAAUCUCGUUCAAGCCAUGUAUGAUUAUAAUGAG
Lupinus albus (white lupine) is the source of this 446-nucleotide non-coding RNA. The record is from the annotation of a GenBank genome assembly. NCBI's taxonomy places the organism in Eukaryota, Viridiplantae, Streptophyta, Magnoliopsida, Fabales, Fabaceae.